RNAcentral lists this ribosomal RNA (404 nucleotides) under uncultured bacterium. Its description in RNAcentral is "bacterial SSU rRNA". It matches the Rfam family "Bacterial small subunit ribosomal RNA", at positions 29 to 415 of the family's 1533-position model. The record is from RNAcentral.
AACGAACGCUGGCGGCGUGGAUAAGACAUGCAAGUCGAACGGGACUAAAUCUGUAGCAAUACAGGUUUAGUUUAGUGGCGAACGGGUGCGUAACACGUGGGCAAUCUGCCGAGAAGUGGGGGAUAGCUCGCCGAAAGGCGAAUUAAUACCGGCAUAUGAUCAGCUAAGACAUCUUAGCGACAUCAAAGCCGGGGUAACCUGGCGCUUCUUGAUGAGCCCGCGGCCUAUCAGCUAGUUGGUGAGGUAACGGCUCACCAAGGCUAUGACGGGUAGCUGGUCUGAGAGGACGACCAGUCACACGUGGAACUGAGACACGGUCCAGACACCUACGGGUGGCAGCAGUCGAGAAUUUUUCUACAAGUGGGGCAACCCUGAAGGAGCGACGCCGCGUGGAGGAUGAAGGC